Molecule: long non-coding RNA, 4808 nt
Organism: Capsicum annuum
Lineage: Eukaryota; Viridiplantae; Streptophyta; Magnoliopsida; Solanales; Solanaceae
Exons: 2
Source: RefSeq, a predicted model, not a curated record
AACCAAAUUUAGCAUAAAUGGAAAGUCCUAGAAGCUCAACUGAUGAAGUCAGCUUUAGAUCCAUAGCGAUUUCUCGAUACUCCGACUUCUUUGAAACUCUGAUAGACACUGCACCACAUAAACUCUAGUUAAUAUAUUCUCAACGGAGAUUUGAUUUUACAAGAUAAGUGAGAUUGAGUGAAUUUCACUUGGGUGUCAAAAAUUCUCACUGACGCCAUGAAUUCUAACUCAUUGAAGUCUUCUGCAGCUUCAAAUCAGUAACAUCAACUAUCUAAUUUGAGUAGAAUGAGCUUCGAUGAGCGAAUACCACUGCAAAAAGGUCCAUAUCUAAGUGGUACAUCCUCUUUCUUAUGUUUACUGCUACUACCUUCUUUUGCAUUAGUUUCUUACUUAAAGUUAUUGCCCCGUUUGCCUCUAUGUGUGCAUAUGCCUUUGGUUUUGAAAUUUUCUUAUUCAGAGAUUUGGUAUUUGGUAUUUUGUAUUUUUCCAGCUGAAUAAUUUUCUUUGCUUUAGUUGAAACCUCCUAUAGUGAAUUAAAUUGAAUCCUGUUUGUACCUGCAAAAUUGAAAAUAGAGUUGGUGAAAUAAUUCGCCAAACGAAUUUCCCUAUCUGAAUAUGUGUACCACCACCAUAAUAUUAUUCUCCAUUGUGUACUUGAGCAUUUUAAUUUUCAAAACAAUUGUCCAGGGCACCUUUCAUAUACCAUCAGAUAUUUUCUUAAGGAUGAGAGAAUCAAUUUCCAUAAUCACUAGUAGCCGGUUAUGACUUAUGUAGUAUUCCAACCCCAUUCUCAUAGCUACAGCCUCAACUUUAAGCAUUGUUCCAUCCUUAAUUCUCCAUGUUUCACUAAAGACAAAGUCCCUCUCCUUAUUCUUAGUACAAAAUGCACUAGAACUAGACUCAAGAUUUUCUUUACUUGUCAAAAUUACACUUAUAAAAUCCCAAUAUAAUUAAUUGAUAAGAAAUAAUAAGAUUAUACUCCUCAAACAGCUUGACUAACAUAGGCCAAUCAAUAGGAAUAUCCUGCAUUUAAGCAUAUCUGACCUUCGUAAUGAUAUGCAGAUUCCUAUAAAUUUCCAUCGCCAUUGCAUGCGUUGACAUUUUGCCCCCAUUUCUAAUUUUAUUCCUCCUCUUCCUCACCUGCCAGAUAAUAAAAGCUGGUACAACCUUGUAUAAAAGCUUUAAUUUUAUUACAUAAUCUGCAUUUCACCACUUUAGAAUGAUGUCCUUAACCUGCAAAAAUGUUCCAGGUACCUCUACUGCUCCUGCAAAUAUACUCCAUAAAUAAUUAGCAUCAAAACCUCCUGUGAUAAAUGUUUAAAUAUUUUUGGAGCAUACUAUUGCAACAACAACAAACAACUUCGUCAGUCAUUUUGAUUUUUACAGGCACCUUACCAAAGGGAAUUCUAUUCUUCCAAAGUCCUGAAAAAAGGAAAGAGACUUUGAAAGGAAUUCCUUUUUCUCAUAUAUUCAGAAUCAGCUCCUGAGGCUGAGGUUCACUUCUCUGUCUCAUUAGUUCCCAAGAACUUCCUACUGAGAACUUUCCUAUACUAUUGAGCAUCCAUGAAGGUUUGCCAUCAUAUGCAAGUUCCUCUAAUGUCCAUCACCAUUGCAUGCCUUGACAUUUUGCCCCCAUUUGUGAUUUUAUUCCUCCACUUCUACACCUGCCAAAAAAUAAAAGCUGGUACAACCUUGUAUAAAGGCUUUAAUUUGUCACACAAUUUGUAUUCCACCACUUUAGAAUGGUGUCCUUAGCCUAGAAAAAUGGUCCAAGCACCCUUGUUGCUCCUUCAAAUAUACUUCAUAAAUAAUUAGCAUUAGAAUGUCCAAUGAAUAUGUAACACCCUGCAUUUUCGAACUAGAAAUCGAACUGUUGUUCCUACGUGUGUAAGCUCUAAUAGAAAUUAUUUCCAUGUGAGAAUAAGUGUUAUGAUCUUUAUCCUCAUGUUUGAAGUGCUUUCGAGGUGAAAAAUCCUCAUAGAAGUCACUUAGAGCGAAGUUGAGCUAAGAACCUUUGAUUCGGUUAAAUCUUUGUAUUCGAUUUUACAAGGGUUUACUUUGAACGUGUAUAACUUUCAAUACAAGUAGAAUUUUGCAGCUUAAGACCCACAAAAUUGUAGAUAAUUGAGUCAACUUUACAACGAUACCAAUUUUGCCUUAAUUCGAUACCGAGCAAAAAGUUAUAGCCAUUUUCAUUAGAGAGGCAGGUCGCGCGAUUAGCCCACGGGGCGCGCUCCAUUCCACCCCUGAGGGAGCCCGCGAUAGAGCAUGCGACGCACGCUCCAUUUUGGUGCUCUAGAGCAUGCGACACACGCUCCAUAACAUGCUCCCUUAUUUUUCAGUUUCUGUUUCCGCGUAUUUGAGGGCAAUAGGGUUAUCUAACUCACCCAAAACCGUCCAAAACAAGAUUUAAGCCCCCAAAGAGCAUUUAUUGCAUCAUUAUUCUCUUCUCCUCUUCAAGGAAACCCUAAACCCCCAAAGAUCAAGAAUCAAGCUCUUAAGUCAAGAUUUCCAAGAAAACCAAUCAAUAUUCGAGUUCUAUCCUUCGAACUAAGUAAUCUGAGGUACGUGGGGUUUUCCUAAACUACAUGGGUAUGGUGAAAUCUUUUUAAUAAUGUUUUGAAUGUUGAUAAUUGAUAUAUUUACUAAGGGUUUGAAUUUACAAUAACUCAUGUAUGGUGAAUCCUUUUGACGAUAAUGCUUUGGUCUUGAGACCUCCCUCUUAAAUUUGAUUUUUUAUUUAUGUAUAUAUAUGUGUGUAUGCGUUCGACGUUUUGAAAAGUAUAAAUGGAGAUCAUGAAUAACGAAUUUUUCUCCCAUGGUGUUAUUUCUUGAUUGACAAGGAUUACUCAAUUGCAUAUCUUAAAGCAUGAACCAAGGGUUUUACUAUCAUAUAUGAAUUUUAUGUCAAUUGUGAAUUGAAGAGAGAGAUAUUUCUUGUUUGUAAAGGCUGAAUGUGAUAAUCGAAAGAAUUGAAUGGUUAUUUUGAUAAAUUGACCACCAUUUGUUGAAAUGUUGAAAAAGGAAGAUUUUUGCCUAGUUUGACAUAUAUUUUGGAAAUAUGAGUUCUCUUGUACUGUUUGAAUGUUUUGGUGCUCUAAACAUUGUUUUGAAUGAAAGAGCUGUAACAUGAUAUUUUAUGGCUUAGAAUAUAUGACUUGCAAGUCUUGGUAUGACGAUACCAAAACAGAUAAUGCUAUAACAAACUCAAAAUAGAACAUAAGUCAGAUUUUACUCGGAUUUUCAUCAUUUGAUUUCAGAAAGAUGGAUAUUUUAAAAUGUAAAAAUGGGCUUAAGAGAUGUUAGGUGGUUACCCGAAGAAGGCACGAGUUCAGAUAACUCAUUGUCCAAAAUCGUGUUUUGCCGAUAUGGGUUAUUAUGUCCCCAAGAGGUAUUAUACACUGGCCUAGUGCCCUGUGGCGUAUGAAAAUCAGAAACUCCAACCUUUGCGACAAACUUGGUUUAGGGGCUUGGCGGCCGAGUCAAGGGCGUAUUCCAUAUAGUCCGUGGAAUAUCAUACUUUUAGGGUGUACCACCUAGUUCAGAAGUAAGACAAAGAUGUCUAGUUGAGUUUUACAGAAACGUUUUAAAAGCCUAAUGGUUAUGCCCAUGGAUUUUUGAAUGUCUUAGAUGGCAUACUUUUCAUGAAAUGCUCUCACUUACUUUACAUAUCAGUAAUUUGUUUUAUUUUUGGAUUUUCUGCGUACCAGUACGACUGUAUUGACCCCCUAUAUUUCAAGAUUUGAGGCAUAGUCUUGGGGUCCCGCUAAGUUGUAGAUUGUUUGUCCGAAGUUUGCAGUUGGUGAGCCUCCCUUAUUUUGGAAGGUCUUGGGUAUUGGAUAUUACUAUUUUGUUUGAUCCAUGGUCCGACUAGGGCCUUGUCCCAGUUUUUAGACGUAUAUUGAUUUUUGUAUUGUUAGAGAUUUCGCAGACUGGUGUCAUGUGUUUUGAAUGUUAAGAACUUCUUUUAGAACAGUUUACUUAUGAGAUUGACCAUGUUUUUGUAUGAUAAUUUUUCGCAUUUUCUUAUUGUAUAAACAUUGUGCAUAAUUGCCAGAUAGAGAGGGGCACUCGGGCCUUCAUGGUUCGGGAUGUCCGUUAUGGCCAGGGCCUCGAUUCGGGUCGUGACAGAAUAAUGUUCAACUGUUUCUUGAGCAUUACUGUAGCAAUAACAAUAAACAACUUCGUCAACCACUUUGAUUUUCACUCACUUCUUUAAUGAGAAUUCUAUGCGUCCAAAGUUUCCAAAAAAGGAACAAUACUUUGAAAGAAAUUCUUUUUUCUUAUAUAUUCAGAGUCAAUUCCUGAGGUUCACUUCUAUGUCUCAAUAGUUCCCAAGCACUCCCAAGAACUUUUCCCAUUUGAUACACACUGAUGCAAAAGAAAUAAAUGAAUUAUUUAUACUUGCAACUGAUGCUAGAAUGUACUAUGUUGAUGAUCCAAUUAUUGAAGAAUGGUGUGAUGUUUGUCUUAUGAAACUGAGACAUCUAUGAUAUGGCAUAUCUGGAUUUUAUGUAUUUAGAGGAGCCAUCAAUAGGGGACAUACCUUUUCAUGAGCAAUAUUUAGAAGUCUCAUUCUAGAAGAAUAUGAAGCAAAAACGCAAGAAGUCAACACACUCGUUAUUAGCAAGUUUAUGAGGACGAAAAACUGACAACAAUAACACAACUUCUCAAAGUUUAAAUCAAUUAGAUGACCAAGUUGUAAAUAAAAAUGUAACAACUCCUACUUUUGAUGAUGACAAUUUAAUUUCCUCUUCAAGCUUUAAUAAAGCUAGCUCUCAAAUGAAAGAGGAGUCCUUACUUGUCUA